Regulatory RNA element from Treponema succinifaciens DSM 2489, 110 nucleotides. It matches the Rfam family "Ribosomal S15 leader". From Rfam's summary of the family: The E. coli Ribosomal S15 gene 5' UTR can form two alternative structures. One that is a series of three hairpins, The other includes a pseudoknot. NCBI's taxonomy places the organism in Bacteria, Pseudomonadati, Spirochaetota, Spirochaetia, Treponematales, Treponemataceae. The record is from Rfam.
UUUGUUCCCUGUAAAAAUCGAAGGACUGAAAAUAAAUUUAUUAGGAGUAAGAAAUGGCACUUACAAAAGAAACAACAGCGUCAAUCGUUUCAAAAUUUGGAGCAAACGCA